UAAGUACUCCCUCCGUUCGGAAUUACUUGUCGCAGAAAUGAAUGUAUCUAGAUGUAUUUUGGUUCUAGAUACAUCCAUUUUUAAGACAAGUAAUUCCGAACAGAGGAAGUAUUUA
Non-coding RNA from Triticum aestivum (bread wheat), 115 nucleotides. The record is from Rfam. NCBI's taxonomy places the organism in Eukaryota, Viridiplantae, Streptophyta, Magnoliopsida, Poales, Poaceae.